UAAUAAGGAUUAACUUGGCCCAACAUCAAAAAUAAAAAUACUCCCUCUUCAACCAAACGACCCCUUAAACCAUUCUCCAUCAGGCGGCUAAGCCUAGCGCUGCCUUCGUUUCCUCUCUCUAUCUUUCAUGAUGUCCUAAUUGCUGUUUAUGGCAAAUAUUCAGGCCACCAGGCCUUUCCAUGGCCGAAUGUGGCAAAGCAAUUAAUGCUCCAUUCAUAAUCCGCCUUCUUUCCACCAAAUAAAGCCCAAAUACGCAACUUCGGCCGGGUCAGACCUCCCUGUUGGGCUAUGGCCCAACAGGCCUUUAUUUCAACAAAACAGUCCAGUGAAGUCGUGGACGGGAAGCUAAUAUUGAACGUGAUUGCAUGAAGUCACAUCCAUUGGUGCAAAUGGCCAACUAGGGGUUUGAUACACCCCUAGCCUGUCCCUUCUCUUUAUUCAUAUUAUUUCAGUUAUAUUUAUGUGUUGUAUUGUAUUUAUGAAGUUCUAAAAACUCACAUUGAUAUUGGGAUCCUUUUGAUUACGAA
This is a long non-coding RNA of Lycium barbarum (goji berry), 527 nucleotides long. RefSeq lists it as uncharacterized. The transcript has 2 exons. Lineage: Eukaryota; Viridiplantae; Streptophyta; Magnoliopsida; Solanales; Solanaceae. The record is from RefSeq and is a predicted model, not a curated record.